CAUGCAAGUCGAGGGGAACGAUAUUGGAAGCUUGCUUCCGAUAGGCGUCGACCGGCGCACGGGUGAGUAACGCGUAUCCAACCUGCCCACCACUUGGGGAUAACCUUGCGAAAGUAAGACUAAUACCCAAUGAUAUCUCUAGAAGACAUCUGAAAGAGAUUAAAGAUUUAUCGGUGAUGGAUGGGGAUGCGUCUGAUUAGCUUGUUGGCGGGGUAACGGCCCACCAAGGCGACGAUCAGUAGGGGUUCUGAGAGGAAGGUCCCCCACAUUGGAACUGAGACACGGUCCAAACUCCUACGGGAGGCAGCAGUGAGGAAUAUUGGUCAAUGGGCGAGAGCCUGAACCAGCCAAGUAGCGUGCAGGAUGACGGCCCUAUGGGUUGUAAACUGCUUUUAUAAGGGAAUAAAGUGAGCCUCGUGAGGCUUUUUGCAUGUACCUUAUGAAUAAGGACCGGCUAAUUCCGUGCCAGCAGCCGCGGUAAUACGGAAGGUCCGGGCGUUAUCCGGAUUUAUUGGGUUUAAAGGGAGCGUAGGCCGGAGAUUAAGCGUGUUGCGAAAUGUAGAUGCUCAACAUCUGCACUGCAGCGCGAACUGGUUUCCUUGAGUACGCACAAAGUGGGCGGAAUUCGUGGUGUAGCGGUGAAAUGCUUAGAUAUCACGAAGAACUCCGAUUGCGAAGGCAGCUCACUGGAGCGCAACUGACGCUGAAGCUCGAAAGUGCGGGUAUCGAACAGGAUUAGAUACCCUGGUAGUCCGCACGGUAAACGAUGGAUGCCCGCUGUUGGUCUGAAUAGGUCAGCGGCCAAGCGAAAGCAUUAAGCAUCCCACCUGGGGAGUACGCCGGCAACGGUGAAACUCAAAGGAAUUGACGGGGGCCCGCACAAGCGGAGGAACAUGUGGUUUAAUU
Molecule: ribosomal RNA, 906 nt
Filed under: uncultured bacterium
Lineage: Bacteria
Description: bacterial SSU rRNA
Rfam family: Bacterial small subunit ribosomal RNA
Source: RNAcentral